This is a long non-coding RNA of Thamnophis elegans (Western terrestrial garter snake), 998 nucleotides long. RefSeq lists it as uncharacterized. The transcript has 6 exons. The record is from RefSeq and is a predicted model, not a curated record. NCBI's taxonomy places the organism in Eukaryota, Metazoa, Chordata, Lepidosauria, Squamata, Natricidae.
AGGGAAAAAAAAAUCCAGGAUGGAGCUAACAGAACAAAAGUGACCAACAAUUUGCCACCAGAAAAGCUUAUAGACAAAUCCAGGAAAACCAAGAAUCUAGGACAACUCAAUUUCUCCAUUGAUGUGGGAUAUAUGAAUGGCAAGGGUUUGCUAUGUGAUGAAGUGUUCACUACAGAAAUCAUAUACAAUUGACUCCAAAUGCUCCCUAUGAUUUACAUAGCUACCCAUCUCACAAGGGAGUAACUUGGAAAGCGUACAACAAAACUAGAGCAAUGAACUCUUCUCACGAAAAUGGAUUUGGAACAAAACAUGAAGUUGAAAUUUCACUAAGGAUCUGUUUCCACAAGAUCCCUAACCAGAUUAAUGGAAGAGGAUGAAGAACAAAACUGAUAAAAAGCUAUCAUGUUCCCCACUCAGCUCAUUUGAAAGACAACUGGGAGAAAAUAGCGAUAAGGCCAGAAAGCAUCUCAUGGAGUUUGCCCGGUACUAAAGACAUUUGGAAGAUCUGAAUUCUAAUCUCAGAAGUUCCUGUAGCAGUUUGCAUGACCUUGAUCUGCUCUUGUGAACAUCGGGACAAUGAUGCCAGUAAUUUUGUUAUUUAUGUUAAACUCUUUAUGUUUUUUUUAGUUUAGAAUAGUGUUUACUGUUUCAUGUGUUACCUAAUACAAUAGGUUUCAAAUAUUAAUAUGAGUUUACAGUUUAUUUCUUAAAUUCAUAUAGCCACUCAUCUGUCAUUGCAAAUGGUUACUAGGUGAACUUUUGUAACAAGAAUUUUUUUGGGUGUCAACAAUUUAGUGGAGUAUUUCUAGUUUCAUUUAUAAUGCAUAUUUAAACUGAAAUACAAAAAGUCCUUGACUUACAACCACAAUAAGGAGCAGAAAAUUCACUGUUAAGCAGUGCAAUCCUUAAAUGAGGCAUUCAUGUGGCCAAACCUACAUUUUUGACUUUAUCACAGUCAUUUCAUGCAACCAAACAAGACAGACACAGACUUCAAUGGA